UGGGAAGCUGGUGCACAAGUGACAACCACAUGAACUUGACAAGACGGAGCCCUGACCCCAGUGGUAAGGACACCCAAGACAACCAGAGAUCUUCAUCCUGCUGCAGUCUUCAUCUGCCUUCACAUCCUCAUAGAACCAGAAGAUCCUCAAACCCUACCAGAACUACAAGACUCCAGAUGACGUAUCUCUGAGUGUUACUGAAACACAUAAGCCUCUCCAAGGUUAUGGUCCAAGGAGAGGAAUAGGGUCUCUUUAUGGAUGAUGGACCGGAGACCUAGAAUCUUGCAUCCUCACUGUUCUAGCAUGCAAAACAACAUAUCAUAAGCCU
Molecule: long non-coding RNA, 328 nt
Organism: Gavialis gangeticus (Gharial)
Lineage: Eukaryota; Metazoa; Chordata; Crocodylia; Gavialidae
Exons: 3
Source: RefSeq, a predicted model, not a curated record